Molecule: ribosomal RNA, 447 nt
Filed under: uncultured bacterium
Lineage: Bacteria
Description: partial 16S ribosomal RNA
Rfam family: Bacterial small subunit ribosomal RNA
Source: RNAcentral
AGCGAACGCCGGCGGCAGGCUUAACACAUGCAAGUCGAACGGUCCUUCGGGAUAGUGGCGGACGGGUGAGUAACACGUGGGAACGCACCCUUAGGUUCGGAACAACACAGGGAAACUUGUGCUAAUACCGGAUAAGCCCUUCGGGGGAAAGAUUUAUCGCCUUUGGAGCGGCCCGCGUCUGAUUAGCUUGUUGGGGAGGUAAUGGCUCACCAAGGCUACGAUCAGUAGCUGGUCUGAGAGGAUGGCCAGCCACACUGGGACUGAGACACGGCCCAGACUCCCACGGGAGGCAGCAGUGGGGAAUCUUGCGCAAUGGGCGAAAGCCUGACGCAGCCAUGCCGCGUGGAUGAUGAAGGUCUUAGGAUUGUAAAAUCCUUUCACCGGGGACGAUAAUGACGGUACCCGGAGAAGAAGCCCCGGCUAACUUCGUGCCAGCCGCCGCCGUAA